This 251-nucleotide unclassified non-coding RNA is filed under the name Hevea brasiliensis (rubber tree). Lineage: Eukaryota; Viridiplantae; Streptophyta; Magnoliopsida; Malpighiales; Euphorbiaceae. The record is from RNAcentral.
GAGAGAGAGAGAGAGAGAUUAAUUUCUUAUUUGAUUCAGAAUGAUCGUCUGCAAGUAUGAGUCAGCUAUUUAUUGACUUUUCCUAACGGAUUCCAUAAAUGACUCCAGCUAAACAUUCUCUUCCCUCAUAUUUCUAAACUUCUUUCUCUAGUAUGUUACAACAAUACAUUCGACUUGUUUAUGCUUCAAGAAAGGCACUACCUUAGUAACUUCUUGAAUAGCGUCUGCAAAUUCUACCUUUGUUGAAAACA